CACAUAGCGGGAGUCCGGAAGAUAGUCCCCCUGUAGCAAAAAUUACGGGGGGUAGGACUCGCGCCCCGAGCAAUCGGGUCACCCUGCUUUUUGAGCACCAUUCGUUUCCUCGGCGGGCCUGCCCGCCAACGGGGACCCCCUAAAACCUCUGUAAUGAGCAGUAACUAUCAGUAAAUAUAAAAUUUAUCA
RNAcentral lists this unclassified non-coding RNA (189 nucleotides) under uncultured fungus. RNAcentral's name for it is "sequence contains ITS1, 5.8S rRNA gene". The record is from RNAcentral. Lineage: Eukaryota; Fungi.